GGGAUUAAGACAUGCGAGUCGAGCGUCUCCAGCUAUGGUGAGACGCGGCAGACGGCUCAGUAACACGUGGCUAACCUACCCUCAGGACAGGGACAAACCCGGGAAACUGGGGCUAAUACCCGAUAGGCGAGAGCGCCUGGAAUGGUUCUUCACCCAAAGGGCUUUGGAAGCAUGCUUUUCAAAGUCGCCUGGGGAUGGGGCCGCGUCCGAUCAGGUUGUUGGUGAGGUAACGGCUCACCAAGCCUAUAACCGGUACGGGCCGUGAGAGCGGUAGCCCGGAGAUGGGCACUGAGACAAGGGCCCAGGCCCUACGGGGCGCAGCAGUCGCGAAAACUCCGCAAUGCACGAAAGUGUGACGGGGCUACCCCGAGUGCCGUCCGCUGAGGAUGGCUUUUCCUCGGUGUAACUAGCCGGGGGAAUAAGGAGAGGGCGAGACUGGUGUCAGCCGCCGCGGUAAUACCAGCUCUCCGAGUGGUAGGGAUGAUUAUUGGGCUUAAAGCGUCCGUAGCCGGCUUAGCAAGUCUCCUGUUAAAUUCAGCGACCUAAUCGUUGAGCCGCGGGAGAUACUACUAGGCUAGGAGGCGGGAGAGGCCGACGGUACUUCCGGGGUAGGGGUGAAAUCCUAUAAUCCCGGGCGGACCACCAGUGGCGAAGGCUGUCGGCUAGAACGCGCUCGACGGUGAGGGACGAAAGCUGGGGGAGCGAACCGGAUUAGAUACCCGGGUAGUCCCAGCCGUAAACGAUG
This 745-nucleotide ribosomal RNA is filed under the name uncultured archaeon. Its description in RNAcentral is "bacterial SSU rRNA". It matches the Rfam family "Archaeal small subunit ribosomal RNA", at positions 40 to 762 of the family's 1478-position model. The record is from RNAcentral.